UUGAAUGUGCCCAGGCAAUAUCUCUUUAAAGCCUGUGACCUCACUUUUUUUUUUUAAAUUUCUGUAUUUUGUACCGUCAUCAUUUUAUGUAUCAUAAUAGGCUGUAAUAGCUAUUUUGCAAGUCUUUCUCUUCUUGCUGGACUGUCAACUCCCUCAAGGCAGGGGCCGUGUGAAAUUUAUUCAUCUUUGUAUCCAUAGUCUCUGGCACUGAGAAGGUGCUCAAUACAUAUUUGUUGGGCUCAACUGAAAUUGAGUAAGACACUUCUCCAUGUCCACCUACAGGCUGUGACUUAGAUCCACAGUUACCAGCAGGAAGGAGGUAUGGUGAAUACAUGAAUGUGUCUUAAAGUGUUCUCCAGAGGCAAGAAUUCUGGACUUUUUCCCAAGAUACCAAGUAUGUAGUCCACUCUGAUACAAACAGGAUCUCAUGAGAUAGAGUAAUAGGUAGCAAAAAAAAAAAAAUCUUUUUUGUUUUGUUACAAAUUAGGCAUUUAAGUGUGUCAUCAGAGUUUAACAAAGUGCUUUCAGAUAUGUUGUCAGGAUCAACAGGAAAAGGAAAAUACAUGCAGCAGUAGAAGCACAGCUGUCAAGUGGAAUAUCCAUGAAAUCAGACAGACAGGAGCUGAGCAGUGAUGCUGGCCUUGUAGGAGAGCAGAUUUCUCUUCAUUGGUUGCACCUCUGCUCCAUGAUGCCUCUUCACUUGUGUCUGUUAUGCCCUCCUCCUGAGAGUUGAAGGAGCUCACUUUAGAUCAAGAUUUUUGGCCCUCGGAAUCAGACCUGACUGCAUGUAAGUGAGGGUGAGAAAUAAGUUGGUUUUGCAUUUUGACGCCAUCUUUCUUCCUACAUAAUGUGGAAAUCUAGUCAUGACCCCAGGUGGCUCCAGCUUCACUCUUGCAGCUAAUGCUAGAGCAGAACUAGGAUCAUUUUAGUUUCGUGGAAUGUUUUUGGUGUCCCUACCUCCAAUCCAUUUUCCACCUAUCAUUGAAAAAGCUCAAACCAAACUGCAGUUAAGCCCCAGAUUUUUCUUUCUAGUAACCUGCUCUGCCUAGGGUACCCCACUCCAGAGUUAGUUUCCACCCAGCAGAGCCUGCUGAUUUAGAGAGUCGUUGAAGCCUUAAAGUGGAAACAUGAGUAGGCCAGGGCUUUCUGGCCUGUGGGAUGUUAGGGCUGUGAAGGAAGAACUUGCUAUCUGAUUCCAAAGAAAUGCUGAAAAUGUGACUCUUGGUGAAAAGAAAGGCAAACUCAACAUUAUUGUUCCGUGGCAUGUCAGCUGACAGUUGUACAAAGAGUCCC
RNAcentral lists this long non-coding RNA (1293 nucleotides) under Camelus dromedarius (Arabian camel). RNAcentral describes it as "lncRNA (ENSCDRG00005004289.1)". Lineage: Eukaryota; Metazoa; Chordata; Mammalia; Artiodactyla; Camelidae. The record is from RNAcentral.